Molecule: ribosomal RNA, 704 nt
Filed under: bacterium enrichment culture clone 1.55
Lineage: Bacteria
Description: bacterial SSU rRNA
Rfam family: Bacterial small subunit ribosomal RNA
Source: RNAcentral
GUUUGAUCCUGGCUCAGGACGAACGCUGGCGGCGUGCCUAAUACAUGCAAGUCGAGCGGACUGAGUAAGAGCUUGCUCUUAUGACGUUAGCGGCGGACGGGUGAGUAACACGUGGGCAACCUGCCCUGUAGAUCGGGAUAACACCGAGAAAUCGGUGCUAAUACCGGGUAACAUCUGAGAUCACAUGAUCUUAGGUUAAAAGAUGGCUCCGGCUAUCACUGCAGGAUGGGCCCGCGGCGCAUUAGCUAGUUGGUAAGGUAACGGCUUACCAAGGCGACGAUGCGUAGCCGACCUGAGAGGGUGAUCGGCCACACUGGGACUGAGACACGGCCCAGACUCCUACGGGAGGCAGCAGUAGGGAAUCUUCCGCAAUGGACGAAAGUCUGACGGAGCAACGCCGCGUGAGUGAUGAAGGGUUUCGGCUCGUAAAGCUCUGUUGUUAGGGAAGAACAAGUACCGUUCGAAUAGGGCGGUACCUUGACGGUACCUAACCAGAAAGCCACGGCUAACUACGUGCCAGCAGCCGCGGUAAUACGUAGGUGGCAAGCGUUGUCCGGAAUUAUUGGGCGUAAAGCGCGCGCAGGCGGUCUUUUAAGUCUGAUGUGAAAGCCCCCGGCUCAACCGGGGAGGGUCAUUGGAAACUGGGAGACUUGAGUACAGAAGAGGAGAGUGGAAUUCCACGUGUAGCGGUGAAAUGCGUAGUA